UACGAGAGGUGCAAGUGUUGUUCCUAAUGACUGGGCGUUAAGGGUAUGCAGACGGUAAUUUAAGUUUAAUUAAUGUACAUAUCGUGUCAUAUUAAAUACUAUUUUACUAGAAUAAUAUUUAAAAUAUUAGAACUGUUAGUUCAAGGUUUAAAUCUAUAGAUAAGCAGGAAUGUCAACGGCGAAGGCAUAUAUUUAUUUAUUAUUGACGUUAAUGUACGAAAGCAUGGGGAUCAAACGGG
RNAcentral lists this ribosomal RNA (239 nucleotides) under uncultured bacterium. RNAcentral's name for it is "partial 16S ribosomal RNA". It matches the Rfam family "Bacterial small subunit ribosomal RNA", at positions 524 to 776 of the family's 1533-position model. The record is from RNAcentral.